This 219-nucleotide long non-coding RNA is filed under the name Hordeum vulgare. RNAcentral's name for it is "long non-coding RNA (HVUL_LNC001817)". Lineage: Eukaryota; Viridiplantae; Streptophyta; Magnoliopsida; Poales; Poaceae. The record is from RNAcentral.
GAAGUCGACCCCGACGACGACGGCUCCUCCUCAACAUCGUAGGCUCCUGCUCCAUGUCCAAAUGCCCAAGUACCCAAGUGCUCAUUUGCCUCGUGCCCAAGUGCUCUACAAGUAUGCAGGUCCUUCUCCUCGUGCCCAAGUCUGAAAUUUUGAUCUUUUUGGAACCAUUUGUCUACGAAGCAAAAUAAUGUGCAGUAAGAUUCUUCCAUUAUGUUAACA